This 422-nucleotide ribosomal RNA is filed under the name uncultured eukaryote. RNAcentral describes it as "SSU rRNA". It matches the Rfam family "Eukaryotic small subunit ribosomal RNA", at positions 592 to 1018 of the family's 1831-position model. The record is from RNAcentral.
CAAUAGCGUAUAUUAAAGUUGUUGCAGUUAAAAGCUCGUAGUUGGAUUUCUGGGAGGGUGCCAAUGUCCGUCGUCGUACGUGUUGCAGCGGCGCCCUUCCAUCCUUCUGUUAACGACUUUGGGCAUUCACUUGCCGGAGUCGGGCUCAGAUAUUUUACCUUUGAGAAAAUUAGAGUGUUUCAGGCAGGCUAGGCCGGAAUACAUUAGCAUGGAAUAAUGGAAUAGGACUACGGUCUCUUUGUUGGUUUGAGGGACUGCAGUAAUGAUUAAUAUGGAUAGUUGGGGGCGAUUAGUAUUUAAUUGUCAGAGGUGGAAUUCUCGGAUUUGUUUAAAGACAACUUAUGCGAAAGACAUUUGUCCAAGGAUGUUUUCUAUUAAUCAAGAACGAAAGUUAAGGGGAGUCGAAGAUGAUCAGAUACCGU